UACGGAGGGUGCAAGCGUUAAUCGGAAUUACUGGGCGUAAAGCGCACGCAGGCGGUUGGAUAAGUUAGAUGUGAAAGCCCCGGGCUCAACCUGGGAAUUGCAUUUAAAACUGUCCAGCUAGAGUCUCGUAGAGGGGGGUAGAAUUCCAGGUGUAGCGGUGAAAUGCGUAGAGAUCUGGAGGAAUACCGGUGGCGAAGGCGGCCCCCUGGACAAAGACUGACGCUCAGGUGCGAGAGCGUGGGGAGCAAACAGG
RNAcentral lists this ribosomal RNA (253 nucleotides) under uncultured bacterium. Its description in RNAcentral is "partial 16S ribosomal RNA". It matches the Rfam family "Bacterial small subunit ribosomal RNA", at positions 524 to 776 of the family's 1533-position model. The record is from RNAcentral.